Molecule: long non-coding RNA, 903 nt
Organism: Pezoporus occidentalis (night parrot)
Lineage: Eukaryota; Metazoa; Chordata; Aves; Psittaciformes; Psittacidae
Exons: 3
Source: RefSeq, a predicted model, not a curated record
AGUCCUGGGGAUUUCCGACAGUUUUGUUCUGCUUGUGUAAAUGAUAGUAUGGUAAGUCUGGAGUGCCCAGGAUUGUGGCUUUGCCAUGCUCACUCAUGUUAUUCAAUGAAGGCAAGCAUACAUACUCUCAGAUCUACUGAACAUACACAGAACUGUGCAGAGUCAGUCUGGAUGCUUCCUGAAAUGCUGGGUUUGUAACACAUGGUCUAUAGAGCUCAUUUACACAUAUCUCCAUCUGGGAAAUCCCAGAGAAAGGGUUAUGGCAGCCUGACUAUUAAAUUAAUUUAAUUUUCUUUCCUUAAGGGCAUCUCCAUUUAACAGCAGUCACAGUUUUAUCCUCUGAAAAGAAAUUCUGAAGUUGUGCUUAGCUAACCCUAAUUAUUUGUCAAUUUAUGUUUGCAUCCUCCUGUGACCCAUCUUCAGAGCACCUGGUAUGAGCCUGCUCUCAGGACUCAGGAGUACCACCAAGAACCCAAAGGUUUGCUCCCGACAGCUGUAGGAGCCACACAAUGAGAUAGAGUCAAGAGGACGUUAGAUCAGGGGAGCGCUAGCAUUACAGGUAGCACAAGAAUUAGUUGUAACCCAUCACUGGAUAUGAAGUGAUGCAACAUGAUGAGUGUGAGUAGUGGCCCACCAUGACAAAGUGGAGGAGGUAAGGAAAGAGAUGGCAAUAGGACUAGGAAGUCUUGCAGUUUGGAUCACUCCUGAAACACUGGAUUUCUGCCAAUGUUUUAAUCAGCGGUAUUUUGAGGCAUCUCUGAGGAGGGAGUUUAAAGCCAAAAACCGGUCACAGACUUUUCACACUGGGAAUUCACUAUUGAUGAUUUGUCACACGAAACUGGGCAGCUAAAAGCUACUCUGAUGGUCUGGACUGGUUGGCUAAAGCUCUUUAAACCUAGAAUA